GAUGAAAUGGGAAUUUGGCCUACAACUGCACCUGAAGAGGAAAAGAAUGUUAAGUUGACAAAACUUGAAAGGGCUGACACUGUCCUGCUGGUGCUCUGAAUCUGUAAAUGAUAAGGACAAGGUCAAAAACAACAAAGCACCAUGAUGAAAAGAAUAGUUUUGAAAUGAUUGGAAAUACAGGUGUGUACCCAACUCUGAAGAUUUAUUUUUAAUUCAAGACUUGAAAUUUCCAGCCACAUCUGCCCAUGGACCAUUCCAGACAUUUUGGGAUCCCUAACUCCACUUACACUACUGGAAUGGGACCUUCCAGCACUAACAAGCAAUAAAGGUUGAGACAACAAAGGAUCUUAUGGGCUGGGACCUCUUAUGACAAACACCACUGGGAGCUGGCAUGUCCAGACUGAUGGAACCCUAGUCUGUUUGACUGACCUGCACAGUGCACCCUGGUAAGUGUACCCUCUGGAUGAUGGUGGAUGAUGAAGGAACAGAAGGCUAGCUGAGGACAGGCAGAA
Molecule: long non-coding RNA, 512 nt
Organism: Ailuropoda melanoleuca (giant panda)
Lineage: Eukaryota; Metazoa; Chordata; Mammalia; Carnivora; Ursidae
Exons: 3
Source: RefSeq, a predicted model, not a curated record